CACUGAUGUCCCCGAGGUGAGGGUGUGCACCAGGGACCUCAGUGACCUCAGGUAAGCCCAAAUGACCUCAAGUAGCCCCAGAUGUCCUCAGGCAUCCCCUGAGGUUCAGUAGCUGGAGCUCUCGAGGGGGAGCAGCGAUGCAGUGCCGGAGCAGCGCGCUCUCCCUCUGCCCCACGUCGGGAGUGGGACACACCUCGGGAGCAGGAUGAGCCCAGGUGAGGCUCAGAGCAAAGCUCUACGGCACUGUGGGCUGGUCAGGCACAGUGUGGAGGAAAGAAUGAGGGGAGGCCUUUUGUAUGGGUUUUGAAGAUGGCUUUAACCUCCAAAAGAGCCAGGAACAAAAGACAGAAGCUGUAGGCUACGCAGCAUCUUAUAUAUGGGGGAGGAGUAAGGGGAGGAUGCAAAUCAUGAACCAAUAGGGAAGCCUUAGGGGAGGAGUUUAAGGCAGAAUCUACAAUACAUAAACCAAUGGGAAAGCUUGGGGGGCAGGAACAGUUAACAAAAUCCAAUGGAAUGUCAAAUACAGUGUGAUUGACAGGGAGGGUUCUAGAACAAAGGGUUGGUGCUAAGUAAGACUGACGGGGAUAAAGAGGUGGGGUCACAAUGACUGACAGGGAAGGCGCUGGAAAAAGGGGUUGGGCUACAAUGAUUGAUGGCAGUAGGGGGAGGAUACAACUUGGAAGAAACCAAGAUCAGAAGGGGAAAACAGAACAAACCAUUUGUGCAACAAAUCUUACACUUACUAAAAGCACACCACCAGAGAGCAGCCUGCAGCACACCAGAACCAGGGUGUCAGGGGCAAGGACAAGAAGCAAUCUCUCUCACAGCUUCCCUCCCAGCCUGGUCCCACCUUCUUCUCCAGGAGUUGGCUCCUCAGCAGCAGGACCUGAGCAAGCCAGAGAACUCACCAGGCUCACGGUGGCCCUUGAGUUUUGCUGCACAGGUUCCUGAAGAAAAGCCAGCUGCAUUGGGACGUGAUUACAGUUCUGAAAGCAUCCAGGAACAAAUGGCUGGAAUUGGGAGCUAGAGAAUGUCCAGGUAGAAACCCACCACUGUAAGCAGAGUAAGAGAAACUCCAUCCUGGCUGUUUUGGGGGGUACAGAUUCAAAACAACUCCUAAAGGCAAAACCCCACUGGGCAUGAACAUAUAAGCUAGAAAAUAUCACUGAGGAUAAAUUUAAUUAGGCAACAUACAGAUCAAAAUGUUGAACAGUAUGGUCAUGGGUCCAGAGGCACAAUUAGCCAUUAACAUCCAGUCCAUCACCCUCCAAAU
Molecule: long non-coding RNA, 1273 nt
Filed under: Cyanistes caeruleus (blue tit)
Lineage: Eukaryota; Metazoa; Chordata; Aves; Passeriformes; Paridae
Description: lncRNA (ENSCCEG00000000296.1)
Source: RNAcentral